UGCACUGUCAGCUUGUCCACUUUUGAGGUGUUGGCACUUGGACUGAUCCACCACUGGCUUCCUCGCUCCCCAGCUUGCAGACGGCCUAUUGUGGGACUUCACCUUGUGAUCAGAGGCCAGUUUGCUAUUCUUAGUUCCAGCGGAAGUGGAUCUGACGUGGGCGAUCAGCACCUUCCUUUACCAAUGGCUUAUGGAACUCACGUCCAGCACGAGAGUGGAUAUUUGCCCAACAAAACUCACAGUAAUACUGCAGAAUAUGUACAGACAAAAACAAGUAUGCUAAUGAAAUUUCUUCAAAUACUACAAACAAUUAGUGAAGACUGCUACUAUAGGCUGCUGCUGUAUUUUUAAGAGGCUCAACUUCAAAUACUUCAACCUUUUAUGGAAAGAUGGAAACACACAACAAACUAUGUAGAUCUUGAUACAAGUCUCCAUCAAGUUGAUUCAUUUUCAAAAGUAAAUUACAUCCUAAUCUCAAACCUGUGGCAAGACAAGUCAAAUCAUCAAAGAAUGGUAAAUCCAUCAAAACGCUAAUAA
Homo sapiens (human) is the source of this 537-nucleotide long non-coding RNA. Ensembl annotates it as C1QTNF7 antisense RNA 1. Its record names the gene C1QTNF7-AS1. NCBI's taxonomy places the organism in Eukaryota, Metazoa, Chordata, Mammalia, Primates, Hominidae. The record is from Ensembl.